This is a long non-coding RNA of Talpa occidentalis (Iberian mole), 385 nucleotides long. RefSeq lists it as uncharacterized. The transcript is spliced from 4 exons. NCBI's taxonomy places the organism in Eukaryota, Metazoa, Chordata, Mammalia, Eulipotyphla, Talpidae. The record is from RefSeq and is a predicted model, not a curated record.
GCUUGCUGCUCACUUUGGGCUAUUUUUCUUUUCCUGUUAUUCCCCCCCCCCCACACACACAAAGAAACUGGCAACAGGGUGUGAAAAGAACUGUUUGGCUCCAGCUAUAGGGAAUUGCUUGCUCCUCUGCGAAUGUGUACUGUUGUCGUCAUCUUUGCACAUGCUGUUCCUCUGAUUGGAGUGCCUCACUCCUCUUUUACCAUCUGGAGACUGAGGAACCAAUCUGAGAAUUGUAUGUGGUGCUGUGUGUUGAGCCUUCAGUCCUUUAAUUAUCUGGAAAACUCAAGGGAGUGCCCUCGUGGUGAUGAAUAUUCCUGUGCAACAUGCUGCUAUUCAUCAGAGCAAAGCCUGCUGUUCCUUAAUAGAAAUCCAGGGAAGAGACCAG